This is a long non-coding RNA of Syzygium oleosum, 740 nucleotides long. RefSeq lists it as uncharacterized. Lineage: Eukaryota; Viridiplantae; Streptophyta; Magnoliopsida; Myrtales; Myrtaceae. The record is from RefSeq and is a predicted model, not a curated record. The transcript has 2 exons.
GGUAUCUUCUUGGUAGCAUGUAAACAUCCCACACACAAAUUAGAUUGCCGAACUUAAGCUCACGAACUGACACGUAUCCAUGCACUGCAAUUUAUAAAGAAGUGGCCUUACAUUAGAUCCUGCACUAGGGUGGCUUUCUUGAGGGGCUUUUUUCAGAUAACUAAAUUGGCAAAAUUUGCUGGACCCAUUUGCAUGUAAAGACGUGAGACAGAAUGGGCCCUUCUCAGGUUUACUAUAACUCACCUGUUCCUUGUUUGAUGUAUUUUUUCAACUACCAUCGUGUCUCUCAGUCUGUCUCCCUCUCUCUCUCUCUCACAUCAUUCCCUUUCCCUUUAUAAGCUUCCCUCUUGCUGCCAUUUACACUUCCCCGGCUAGUUUCUGAAGCUUUUGUGAGAGGCUUGAGUGAAAGAAGAGUAUCGGGUCGAGGGGGUUGAUUAGCGAUCGGUGAUCAUGUCCACAAGAAGAUCAAGAACCUCUCAGUUAACAGAAGAUGAGAUCAAUAAUCUCAUCUCCAAGUUACAGGCUCUGCUUCCUCAGCUUGAGCAAAGGAGAAACAAUGGAAUGGUAGCCCCAUCAAAGAUUUUGAAGGAAACAUGCAGUUACAUUAGGAAGCUACACAGAGAGAUGGAUGAGCUGAGCGAAAGACUGACUACAUUGUUGGAUAAUAUGGAGAUAUCUAGUGCUGAUGCACAGCUUCUUAGAACUCUUCUUCUACAAUAAAGCCUUUUUGUCUUUGCUUC